UGGGGAAUAUUGGACAAUGGGCGAGAGCCUGAUCCAGCCAUGCCGCGUGUGUGAAGAAGGCCUUUUGGUUGUAAAGCACUUUAAGCGAGGAGGAGGCUACUUGGAUUAAUACUCUAGGAUAGUGGACGUUACUCGCAGAAUAAGCACCGGCUAACUCUGUGCCAGCAGCCGCGGUAAUACAGAGGGUGCGAGCGUUAAUCGGAUUUACUGGGCGUAAAGCGUGCGUAGGCGGCUUCUUAAGUCGGAUGUGAAAUCCCUGAGCUUAACUUAGGAAUUGCAUUCGAUACUGGGAAGCUAGAGUAUGGGAGAGGAUGGUAGAAUUCCAGGUGUAGCGGUGAAAUGCGUAGAGAUCUGGAGGAAUACCGAUGGCGAAGGCAGCCAUCUGGCCUAAUACUGACGCUGAGGUACGAAAGCAUGGGGAGCAAACAGG
Molecule: ribosomal RNA, 430 nt
Filed under: Acidobacteriota bacterium
Lineage: Bacteria; Pseudomonadati; Acidobacteriota
Description: Acidobacteria bacterium partial 16S ribosomal RNA
Rfam family: Bacterial small subunit ribosomal RNA
Source: RNAcentral